UGCGGCAGCGACGCUUAUGCGUUGUUGGGUAGGGGAGCGUUCUGUAAGCCUGCGAAGGUGUGCUGUGAGGCAUGCUGGAGGUAUCAGAAGUGCGAAUGCUGACAUAAGUAACGAUAAAGCGGGUGAAAAGCCCGCUCGCCGGAAGACCAAGGGUUCCUGUCCAACGUUAAUCGGGGCAGGGUGAGUCGACCCCUAAGGCGAGGCCGAAAGGCGUAGUCGAUGGGAAACAGGUUAAUAUUCCUGUACUUGGUGUUACUGCGAAGGGGGGACGGAGAAGGCUAUGUUGGCCGGGCGACGGUUGUCCCGGUUUAAGCGUGUAGGCUGGUUUUCCAGGCAAAUCCGGAAAAUCAAGGCUGAGGCGUGAUGACGAGGCACUACGGUGCUGAAGCAACAAAUGCCCUGCUUCCAGGAAAAGCCUCUAAGCAUCAGGUAACAUCAAAUCGUACCCCAAACCGACACAGGUGGUCAGGUAGAGAAUACCAAGGCGCUUGAGAGAACUCGGGUGAAGGAACUAGGCAAAAUGGUGCCGUAACUUCGGGAGAAGGCACGCUGAUAUGUAGGUGAAGUCCCUUGCGGAUGGAGCUGAAAUCAGUCGAAGAUACCAGCUGGCUGCAACUGUUUAUUAAAAACACAGCACUGUGCAAACACGAAAGUGGACGUAUACGGUGUGACGCCUGCCCGGUGCCGGAAGGUUAAUUGAUGGGGUCAGCGCAAGCGAAGCUCUUGAUCGAAGCCCCGGUAAACGGCGGCCGUAACUAUAACGGUCCUAAGGUAGCGAAAUUCCUUGUCGGGUAAGUUCCGACCUGCACGAAUGGCGUAAUGAUGGCCAGGCUGUCUCCACCCGAGACUCAGUGAAAUUGAACUCGCUGUGAAGAUGCAGUGUACCCGCGGCAAGACGGAAAGACCCCGUGAACCUUUACUAUAGCUUGACACUGAACAUUGAGCCUUGAUGUGUAGGAUAGGUGGGAGGCUUUGAAGUGUGGACGCCAGUCUGCAUGGAGCCGGCCUUGAAAUACCACCCUUUAAUGUUUGAUGUUCUAACGUGGACCCGUGAUCCGGGUUGCGGACAGUGUCUGGUGGGUAGUUUGACUGGGGCGGUCUCCUCCUAAAGAGUAACGGAGGAGCACGAAGGUUGGCUAAUCCUGGUCGGACAUCAGGAGGUUAGUGCAAUGGCAUAAGCCAGCUUGACUGCGAGCGUGACGGCGCGAGCAGGUGCGAAAGCAGGUCAUAGUGAUCCGGUGGUUCUGAAUGGAAGGGCCAUCGCUCAACGGAUAAAAGGUACUCCGGGGAUAACAGGCUGAUACCGCCCAAGAGUUCAUAUCGACGGCGGUGUUUGGCACCUCGAUGUCGGCUCAUCACAUCCUGGGGCUGAAGUAGGUCCCAAGGGUAUGGCUGUUCGCCAUUUAAAGUGGUACGCGAGCUGGGUUUAGAACGUCGUGAGACAGUUCGGUCCCUAUCUGCCGUGGGCGCUGGAGAACUGAGGGGGGCUGCUCCUAGUACGAGAGGACCGGAGUGGACGCAUCACUGGUGUUCGGGUUGUCAUGCCAAUGGCACUGCCCGGUAGCUAAAUGCGGAAGAGAUAAGUGCUGAAAGCAUCUAAGCACGAAACUUGCCCCGAGAUGAGUUCUCCCUGACCCUUUAAGGGUCCUGAAGGAACGUUGAAGACGACGACGUUGAUAGGCCGGGUGUGUAAGCGCAGCGAUGCGUUGAGCUAACCGGUACUAAUGAACCGUGAGG
This 1737-nucleotide ribosomal RNA is filed under the name Shigella sonnei. Its description in RNAcentral is "partial 23S ribosomal RNA". It matches the Rfam family "Bacterial large subunit ribosomal RNA", at positions 1201 to 2915 of the family's 2925-position model. Lineage: Bacteria; Pseudomonadati; Pseudomonadota; Gammaproteobacteria; Enterobacterales; Enterobacteriaceae. The record is from RNAcentral.